GUCUAUGUCCAUACCACCGUGAACCCCCCCGAUCUCAUCUGGUCUCGGAAGCUAAGCAGGGUCGGGCCUGGUUGGUACUUGGAUGGGAGAACUAAUUUUUCCCUUGCUGAUUGUUU
This 116-nucleotide ribosomal RNA is filed under the name Ochotona princeps (American pika). The record is from RNAcentral. Lineage: Eukaryota; Metazoa; Chordata; Mammalia; Lagomorpha; Ochotonidae.